RNAcentral lists this ribosomal RNA (253 nucleotides) under uncultured bacterium. RNAcentral's name for it is "partial 16S ribosomal RNA". It matches the Rfam family "Bacterial small subunit ribosomal RNA", at positions 524 to 776 of the family's 1533-position model. The record is from RNAcentral.
UACGUAGGGCGCAAGCGUUGUCCGGAAUUAUUGGGCGUAAAGAGCUCGUAGGCGGCUUGUCACGCCGGGUGUGAAAGCCCGGGGCUUAACCCCGGGUCUGCAUUCGAUACGGGCAGGCUAGAGUGUGGUAGGGGAGAUCGGAAUUCCUGGUGUAGCGGUGAAAUGCGCAGAUAUCAGGAAGAACACCGGUGGCGAAGGCGGCUCUCUGGGCCUUACCUGACGCUGAGGAGCGAAAGCGUGGGUAGCGAACAGG